This is an RNA transcript of Mobula hypostoma (lesser devil ray), 2895 nucleotides long. RefSeq lists it as uncharacterized. The record is from RefSeq and is a predicted model, not a curated record. NCBI's taxonomy places the organism in Eukaryota, Metazoa, Chordata, Chondrichthyes, Myliobatiformes, Myliobatidae. The transcript is spliced from 2 exons.
UGGGGACAAGGUGCGGUGAAGUCGAGACAGUUGAUGUCCCGUCGGCAGUUGGCAAUAAAGAGAUCCAGAGCAGGCAGAAGACCAGAGCGGGGUGUCCAUGAAGAAGAGGAGGGUUGAAGACGGGAGAAGGGGUCAUCGGUGGGGGUGGAAGAGUCCUUGCCGAAGAAGUAGGCUCGGAGACGGAGACGGCGGAAGAAAAGUUCCGCAUCAUGGCGAACACGGAACUCGCUGAGGUGUGGGCGAAGGGGAACAAAGGUGACCCCAAUGUUGUCUGUUUGGGUAACAGAAGUUCACAAAUCGCAACCUUACAUCUGAAAUGUGAAAUGAAAUUUGUUUUCACGGAACUUAAUGUGGAAAAAAGAAAAUAAAUAAAACCCGCAUUUCUUGACAUAUGCGCAGAUGGCAUAAUUUGGCAUUACAGAAAGUCACAACACAGAUUGGAACACACACCCAAAAUGCUGGAGGAACUCAGCAAAUCAGGCAGCAUCAGUAUAGGGGAGCAAACAAUGGACGUUUUGGACUGAGACCCAAAACGUUGACUGUUUAUUCCCCUGUAUUGAUGCUGGCCGAAUUGCUAAGUUCCUUCAGGGUUGUGUGUGUGUGUGUGUGUGUGUGUGUGUGUGUGUGUGUGUGUGUGUGUGUGUGUGUGUGUGUGUGUGUGUGUGUGUGUGUGUGUGUGUGUGUGUGUGUGUGUGUGUGUGUGUGUGUGUGUGUGUGUGUUACUCAAUAUUUCCAGCAUGAGCAGAAUCUCUUGUGUUUAUUCUGAAGAAUGUAAGCUCCACUAACACAGGGGUCAUCUGUACUAAUCUAGAUAAUCCAACUAAAUUUCUGGGCUGAGUUUUCCUAGAACUGUAUCUCAGACUAUGAGGUGACAGCUUCUAUGGUCUUUUGGGGUGUUGGUGGACAAUAGUAUGAGAAGAAAGUUGCCUUUUAUUAUGCUUUUCGUGUUUUUAAUCCUGCCCUUGUGGUCCCAUUGGUACAGUAAAACUCGCUGGACUGCACUUUCUCUUUUCAAUUGUUGGAAACAUGUGUGAGGUCUCUUUAUAAUGCGAGUUGUUCUGUUCUGACCCUGCCUUGCUUGUGUACUAUGAAAAUUUCUGGAUGUUUGGAGAAUUUAUUAACUUCAGUGCACCAAACCUGACCCCAUACAUAAUGAUAGAUGUUGUAUGUGGCAAUUACAAUCCGUGGUAUAAAUGUUCUUCGAAUAGUUUUGGUGGUUAUUUGAUCAUGUCUUAAUACUCGAGCGGGUCAGGCAGGACAUUUCUAGUGUGUAUUUUUCCUUUGCCUUGAGAUACUGCUGUUUUUAUUCAGUUUCUCUUUGGAGAUUGCAACUUCAUAAAACUCUGGCUAGGCCAUAUCUGGGGUAGUGCAUACAGUUCUGGUUGCCCCACUAUAGGAAGGAUGUGGAGGCUUUGGAGAGGGUGCAGAAGAGGCUUACCAGGAGGCUGUCUGGUGUAGAGGGCAUGUGCUAUCAUGAGAGGCUGGAUAAGCUUAGGUUCUAUUCUCUGGAGUGACGGAGACUGAGGGGAGAUCUGAUAGAGGUUUAUAAGAUUAUGAGAGGCAUAGAUAGACUAGACAGGGAUGAUUUUUUCCUCAGGGUAGAAAUGUCUAAUACCAGAGGGCAUGCAUUGAAGAUGAGGGGGGUAGGUUCAGAGGAGAUGUGAAGGGUUUUUUUUGCUCAGAGUCACGGAUGCCUUGAAUGUUCUGCCUAGUAUAGCGGUAGAGGCAAAUAUAUUAAAAGCUUUUAAGAGACGCUUGGAUAGUCACAUGGAUGUAAGGAAGAUGGAGGGAUAUGGAUAUGGUUGAGGUCGGAGGGAUUAGCAUCUGGGUGUUUUUGAUUUGCUUUUUAGCUGGUUCAGUACAACAUUGUGGGCUGAAUGGCCUGUUCCCGUGCGGUACUCUUCUAUGUUCUGAGACUAAAUGAUUAUACUGGGAGGCACAGAGGAAGGAUGUUGAGCUGUGGCUGGGACAGACUCAAUGGUCCAUUCCGCUCGGGUGCAAGUUGUUAUUUUUACAAUACUGUCCUUGUCAUUUUACUUUUCUAUGCUUACUUGCAUUUUUCUAUAAUCACCUAUCUACCCGUAUGCACAAUUGAUUAGUAAAUCUUCCAGUAAUUAUAGUACAGAUUAUUCUAUAUUUAUUCAGAAGCUUCUCAAAUCUCAGUUUAUUUCGUGCAGUAGUUGUCAUACUGCUGUAACCUGGCUAUUUUAUAGUUUAAUUGUUAUCACUGGAAUUUCUUUUGUCUCCGGUCUGAGGGUGAGAUGACCACAACUUCUUUUUCUUUGUCUUUUCUUUGUUCUUGUAACACUUAAUAAAACAGCCAAAACCACUAAAUUUUAUGCCUCGUUCUUGACUUCCAAAGAACCGCAGAUCAAUAUUGCCAGAUCCAACGGGCCCAGGUGGCGUCCCGGGACGGGUUCUCUGGGCCUGUGCAAGCGAGCUAGCUGGAGUGUUUGCUGACAGCUUCAACUGCUCCUUGCUUCAGUCUAAGAUCCCCUCCUGUUUUAAGAAGGCAAAGAUAAUCCCGGUGCCGAAGAAGAGCAAGGUGGCACGCCUGAAUGACUAUCGACCUGUGGCUCUGACAUCAAUUGCUAUGAAGUGCUUCGAGGGAUUGGUUAUGGCACACAUCAACCACAGCCUGCCGGUCAACCUCGACGCUUUGCAUUUUGCCUACUGGAGCAACAGGUCAAUGGCAGAUGCCAUCUCUCUGGUCCAACAUUCCUCCUCAGAACACCUGGAGAAUAAAGACGCAUACGUAAGGCUCCUUUUCAUUGACUACAGCUCUGCCUUUAAUACCAUUAUUCCAAAUAAACUGAUUCCUAAGCUCUGGAACCUGGGCCUUAGCACUCAGAUCUGCAGCUGGAUCUUCAACUUCCUCACAGACAGGACCCAGGC